GCACAGGGGGGACAUAACGGAAUUCAUCUCCUUCAAUCACACACACCACCACUCUGCUCUGCAAAAAAAACCAUACCAACCCCCAACCACAUUUUGGCCUUUCACUCCUAAUUCUUCCUUAUACGUUACUCACUCAAGGUUCCGACCCAAGGAGACUGGGAAAAACAUCACACACCUCCAAUGCCAUCAUCGUUCACACACAUGAUUCUCUAUCAACACCGACAACCAGUAUCCCCAUCUUCAUCUCGUUUCUCUCGGCCUAUGCAACUUUGAUGACAAACCUGC
Molecule: long non-coding RNA, 285 nt
Filed under: Vigna radiata
Lineage: Eukaryota; Viridiplantae; Streptophyta; Magnoliopsida; Fabales; Fabaceae
Description: long non-coding RNA (VRAD_LNC013012)
Source: RNAcentral